This 486-nucleotide ribosomal RNA is filed under the name uncultured bacterium. Its description in RNAcentral is "bacterial SSU rRNA". It matches the Rfam family "Bacterial small subunit ribosomal RNA", at positions 28 to 507 of the family's 1533-position model. The record is from RNAcentral.
GACGAACGCGUGGCGGCGUGGAUUAGGCAUGCAAGUCGAACGGUAUCAUCCUUCGGGGGUGAGAGAGUGGCGAACUGGUGAGUAACACGUAGGUUAUCUACCCUCAAGACGGGGACAACCCAGGGAAACUUGGGCUAAUACCGGAUGUGAGCAACUUUAGUUGUUUGAAAGGUGGCGUAAGCUGUCGCUUGGGGAUGAGCCUGCGUCCUAUUAGUUAGUUGGUGAGGUAACGGCUCACCUAGGCAAUGAUAGGUAGGCGGCCUUAACGGGUGGUCGCCCACACUGGGAUUGAGAUACGGCCCAGACUCCUACGGGAGGCAGCAGUCGAGAAUAGUCUACAAUGGUCGGAAGACUGAUAGUGCGACGCCGCGUGAACGAUGAAUCCCUUCGGGGUGUAAAGUUCUUUUAUAUGUGAGCAGUGCUUCUUAUAUUAACAGUAUGGGGAGAGAGAUAUUAGCAUAUGAAUAAGCAACGGCUAACUCCGUG